CAGCCGCCGCGGUAAUACGUAGGUGACAAGCGUUGUCCGGAAUUAUUGGGCGUAAAGGGAGCGCAGGCGGUUGGAAUAGUCUGAUGUGAAAGCCCACGGCUUAACCGUGGAAUUGCAUUGGAAACUGUCCAACUUGAAUGCAGAAGAGGAAAGCGGAAUUCCAUGUGUAGCGGUGAAAUGCGUAGAUAUAUGGAGGAACACCAGUGGCGAAGGCGACUCUCUGGUCUGUAACUGACGCUGAGGAGCGAAAGCGUGGGGAGCGAACAGGAUUAGAGACCCCAGUAGUCCCUGUCUCUUAUAC
RNAcentral lists this ribosomal RNA (301 nucleotides) under uncultured bacterium. Its description in RNAcentral is "partial 16S ribosomal RNA". It matches the Rfam family "Bacterial small subunit ribosomal RNA", at positions 509 to 807 of the family's 1533-position model. The record is from RNAcentral.